AUUACUUUGACAGACACCCAUGUAAUAAAUUUAGAAUUUAUUUAAGUAAAUAAAUUUACAAGUAAUA
RNAcentral lists this transfer RNA (67 nucleotides) under Psyttalia lounsburyi. RNAcentral describes it as "tRNA-Leu". Lineage: Eukaryota; Metazoa; Arthropoda; Insecta; Hymenoptera; Braconidae. The record is from RNAcentral.